UAAUGGCAACCCGGCCGUCAAGGUCAGCAA
RNAcentral lists this small RNA (30 nucleotides) under Bombyx mori (domestic silkworm). RNAcentral describes it as "ovarian small RNA-19789". The record is from RNAcentral. Lineage: Eukaryota; Metazoa; Arthropoda; Insecta; Lepidoptera; Bombycidae.